This 1391-nucleotide ribosomal RNA is filed under the name metagenome. RNAcentral's name for it is "bacterial LSU rRNA". It matches the Rfam family "Bacterial large subunit ribosomal RNA", at positions 1519 to 2925 of the family's 2925-position model. The record is from RNAcentral.
UGGUAGCUUCAUGGGAGGGAAAACCCCCAUGUAUAAGGCGAAUGCGUGAAGCGUAGCGAACAUAAAAGUAGCGAAGCGUGUGGAGUCACUGUCAGGAAAAGCCGCUAUUGCGUAUCAUGAACCCGUACCGUAAACCGACACAGGUGGAUGAGGAGAGAAUCCUAAGGCCGACGGAAGAAGCAUUGUUAAGGAAUUCGGCAAAAUGACCCCGUAACUUCGGGAGAAGGGGUGCCUACGAAUGUAGGCCGCAGAGAAUUGGCCCAAGCAACUGUUUAGCAAAAACACAGGUUUAUGCGAAACCGAAAGGUGAAGUAUAUGAGCUGACGCCUGCCCGGUGCUGGAAGGUUAAGGGGAGAGCUUAGAGGCAACUCGAAGGUUCGAACUUAAGCCCCAGUAAACGGCGGCCGUAACUAUAACGGUCCUAAGGUAGCGAAAUUCCUUGUCGGGUGAGUUCCGACCCGCACGAAAGGCGUAAUGAUUUGGGCACUGCCUCGACAAUGCAUCCGGUGAAAUUGAAAUACCAGUGAAGAUGCUGGUUACCCGCGCCAGGACGGAAAGACCCCAUGGAGCUUUACUCCAGUUUGAUGCUGGGAUUCGGUACUGCAUGUACAGGAUAGGCGGGAGACUAGGAAGAUAACGCCAGUUGUAUCAGAGUCGCUGUUGGGAUACCGCCCUUGUAGUACUGGGUUUCUAACCUGCCACCGUGAACCGGUGGAGGGACAACGUCAGGCGGGGAGUUUGACUGGGGCGGUCGCCUCCGAAAGGGUAUCGGAGGCGCUCAAAGGUUCCCUCAGAAUGGUUGGAAACCAUUCGAAGAGUGCAAAGGCAGAAGGGAGCUUGACUGCGAGGUCGACGGACCGAGCAGGUACGAAAGUAGGACUUAGUGAUCCGGUGGUAGAAAGUGGGAUUGCCAUCGCUCAACGGAUAAAAGCUACCCUGGGAUAACAGGCUAAUCACUCCCAAGAGUUCACAUCGACGGAGUGGUUUGGCACCUCGAUGUCGGCUCAUCGCAUCCUGGGGCUGUAGCAGGUCCCAAGGGUUGGGCUGUUCGCCCAUUAAAGCGGUACGCGAGCUGGGUUCAGAACGUCGUGAGACAGUUCGGUCCCUAUCCGGCGCGGGCGUAGGAUAUCUGAAAGGAGCUGGCCUUAGUACGAGAGGACCGGGCUGGGCGGACCGCUGGUGUAUCUGUUGUCAUACCAAUGGCAUAGCAGGGUAGCCAAGUCUGGAAGGGAUAAACGCUGAAGGCAUCUAAGCGUGAAGCCCCCCUUAAGAUAAGAUAUCCCUGGAGUUAAUCCAGUAAGACCCCUUGAAGACGACGAGGUAGAUAGGGCAGAGGUGGAAGUGUGGUAACACAUGGAGCUGACUGUCACUAAUAGGUCGAGGGCUUGAUC